This 468-nucleotide ribosomal RNA is filed under the name uncultured bacterium. RNAcentral's name for it is "partial 16S ribosomal RNA". It matches the Rfam family "Bacterial small subunit ribosomal RNA", at positions 28 to 507 of the family's 1533-position model. The record is from RNAcentral.
GACGAACGCUGGCGGCGUGCUUAACACAUGCAAGUCGAACGGAAAGUCCCUGCCUUUGUGCGCUCCUCGAGUGGCGAACGGGUGAGUAACACGUGAGUAACCUGUCCUUGACUUUGGGAUAACUUCAGGAAACUGGGGCUCAUACCGGCUAGGAGCUCUUGCUGCAUGGUGGGGGUUGGAAAGUUUCGGCGGUUGGGGAUGGACUAGCGGCUUAUCAGCUUGUUGGUGGGGUAGUGGCUUACCAAGGCUUUGACGGGUAGCCGGCCGGUGCGGGUGACCGGCGACAUGGGGACUGAGAUACGGCACAGACUCCUACGGGAGGCAGCAGGGGGGAGUAGUGAACAAUGGGCAGAAGCCUGAUGCAGCAACGCCGCGUGCGGGAUGACGGCCGUCGGGUUGAAAGCCGCAUUCGCCUGUGACGAAGCGUGAGUGACGGUAAUGGGUAAGGAAGCACCGGCUAUCAACGUG